CUUAACACAUGCAAGUCGAACGGAAAGGCCCUGCUUUUGUGGGGUGCUCGAGUGGCGAACGGGUGAGUAACACGUGAGUAACCUGCCCUUGACUUUGGGAUAACUUCAGGAAACUGGGGCUAAUACCGGAUAGGAGCUCCUGCUGCAUGGUGGGGGUUGGAAAGUUUCGGCGGUUGGGGAUGGACUCGCGGCUUAUCAGCUUGUUGGUGGGGUAGUGGCUUACCAAGGCUUUGACGGGUAGCCGGCCUGAGAGGGUGACCGGCCACAUUGGGACUGAGAUACGGCCCAGACUCCUACGGGAGGCAGCAGUGGGGAAUAUUGCACAAUGGGCGGAAGCCUGAUGCAGCAACGCCGCGUGCGGGAUGACGGCCUUCGGGUUGUAAACCGCUUUCGCCUGUGACGAAGCGUGAGUGACGGUAAUGGGUAAAGAAGCACCGGCUAACUACGUGCCAGCAGCCGCGGUGAUACGUAGGGUGCGAGCGUUGUCCGGAUUUAUUGGGCGUAAAGGGCUCGUAGGUGGUUGAUCGCGUCGGAAGUGUAAUCUUGGGGCUUAACCCUGAGCGUGCUUUCGAUACGGGUUGACUUGAGGAAGGUAGGGGAGAAUGGAAUUCCUGGUGGAGCGGUGGAAUGCGCAGAUAUCAGGAGGAACACCAGUGGCGAAGGCGGUUCUCUGGGCCUUUCCUGACGCUGAGGAGCGAAAGCGUGGGGAGCGAACAGGCUUAGAUACCCUGGUAGUCCACGCUGUAAACGGUGGGUACUAGGUGUGGGGUCCAUUCCACGGGUUCCGUGCCGUAGCUAACGCUUUAAGUACCCCGCCUGGGGAGUACGGCCGCAAGGCUAAAACUCAAAGGAAUUGACGGGGCCCCGCACAAGCGGCGGAGCAUGCGGAUUAAUUCGAUGCAACGCGUAGAACCUUACCUGGGUUUGACAUGGAUCGGGAGUGCUCAGAGAUGGGUGUGCCUCUUUUGGGGUCGGUUCACAGGUGGUGCAUGGCUGUCGUCAGCUCGUGUCGUGAGAUGUUGGGUUAAGUCCCGCAACGAGCGCAACCCUUGUUCACUGUUGCCAGCACGUUAUGGUGGGGACUCAGUGGAGACCGCCGGGGUCAACUCGGAGGAAGGUGGGGAUGACGUCAAGUCAUCAUGCCCCUUAUGUCCAGGGCUUCACGCAUGCUACAAUGGCUGGUACAGAGAGUGGCGAGCCUGUGAGGGUGAGCGAAUCUCGGAAAGCCGGUCUCAGUUCGGAUUGGGGUCUGCAACUCGACCUCAUGAAGUCGGAGUCGCUAGUAAUCGCAGAUCAGCAACGCUGCGGUGAAUACGUUCCCGGGGCUUGUACACACCGCCCGUCAAGUCAUGAAAGUUGGUAACACCCGAAGCCGGUGGCCUAACCGU
RNAcentral lists this ribosomal RNA (1388 nucleotides) under bacterium MB3001. Its description in RNAcentral is "bacterial SSU rRNA". It matches the Rfam family "Bacterial small subunit ribosomal RNA". The record is from RNAcentral.